AAUGGCAGUCCUUCUCAUGAAAUUCAAAUCUGUAGUUCUAGGUUUACAAGCAUAAUUCGUGUUGGAGAAGUUUCCAACAGACCGGUCGCGCAGCGUGAUGGCAUACUGGACAAGAGGCAGUUGGGGAGUUCUGUGACAGUCAAUUUUACUCCUGCAGCAAGUCAGUUUUCAACUUCGGGAUGAUCCAGAUGGUGAAAUGAAAUUGUCUUUCCGAGAGCGUGCCAGACAUGUUGUAUAGUAGGGGUUCCCAACCCUAUGACCGCGGGCACCAUGGCGCCCGCCGAACGUUUAACAUGUGCCCACCGCUGAGCGAUCACAAUAAAAAUGUUUUAGUUUUUCAAUAAAAUUCUACGUGAA
This 357-nucleotide long non-coding RNA is filed under the name Stegodyphus dumicola. Its description in RNAcentral is "uncharacterized LOC118181203, transcript variant X1". Lineage: Eukaryota; Metazoa; Arthropoda; Arachnida; Araneae; Eresidae. The record is from RNAcentral.